RNAcentral lists this ribosomal RNA (1287 nucleotides) under uncultured bacterium. RNAcentral describes it as "bacterial SSU rRNA". It matches the Rfam family "Bacterial small subunit ribosomal RNA", at positions 35 to 1379 of the family's 1533-position model. The record is from RNAcentral.
GCUGGCGGUGCGCCUAACACAUGCAAGUCGAGUGGGUUUAGACCCACGGCGAACGGCUGCGUAACACGUUGGUACUCCCCCCAGACUCAGGGAUAACCCUCCGAAAGGAGGGCUAAUACCGGAUGCCCUCGCAAGAGGAAAGAUUUAUCGGUCUGGGAGAGGCCUGCGGCCUAUCAGAUAGUUGGUGAGGUAACGGCUCACCAAGUCGAUGACGGGUAGCUGAUCUGAGAGGAUGAUCAGCCAGAAUGGAACUGAGACACGGUCCAUACUCCUACGGGAGGCAGCAGUGAGGAAUCUUCCGCAAUGGGCGAAAGCCUGACGGAGCGACACCGCGUGAAGGAUGAAGCCAUUUUUUGGUGUNAACUUCUGUUCUGAGGGACGAAAUUUUUGACGGUACCUCANGAGAAAAGCACGGCUAAUUCUGUGCCAGCAGCCGCGGUAAAACAGAAGUGCAAGCGUUACUCGGAAUUACUGGGCCUAAAGCGUCUGCAGGUGUCCUUGUUAAUCUGGGGUAAAAGCACGGAGCUCAACUCCGUGUACGUGCCGGAAACUAGCAGGAUUGAGUCAUUGAGAGGCAUCUGGAAUGUCGUGUGUAGGGGUAAAAUCCGUAGAUCCACGAUGGAACGCCAAAAGUGAAAACAGGAUGCUAGCAAUGUACUGACACUCAGAGACGAAAGCGUGGGGAGCAAAGGGGAUUAGAUACCCCCGUAGUCCACGCCCUAAACGAUGCGUGCUCGGUGUAGGGACUUUAUCAAUUGGUCUCUGUGCCUUAGUUAACACGGUAAGCACGCCGCCUGGGAAGUACGGCCGCAAGGCUAAAACUCAAAGGAAUAGACGGGGACCCACACAAGCGGUGGAGCAUGGGGUUUAAUUCGAUGGUAAACGAAGAACCUCACCCAGACUUGACAUCUUAGGAAUCCCGGCGAAAGCCGGGAGUGCCGCAAGGAACCUAAAGACAGGCGAUGCACGGUCGUCGUCAGCUCGUGCCUUGAGGUGUACUGUUAAGUCAGCGAACGAGCGCAACCCUCAUCCUAUGUUGAUUUUUCAUGGGAGACUGCCGCCUCCAAGGCGGAGGAAGGUGGGGAUGACGUCAGAUCAGCGUGUCCUUUAUGUCUGGGGCCACACCCAUGCUACAAUGGCCGGUACAGAGGGAAGCAAACCCGCGAGGGGGAGCCAAUCCCAUCAAACCCGGUCUCAGUUCGGAUUGAAGGCUGCAACUCGCCUUCAUGAAGUUGGAAUCGCUAGUAACCGUGGGUCAGCUACACCACGGUGAAUAUGUUCCUGGGU